RNAcentral lists this ribosomal RNA (446 nucleotides) under uncultured bacterium. RNAcentral's name for it is "bacterial SSU rRNA". It matches the Rfam family "Bacterial small subunit ribosomal RNA", at positions 28 to 471 of the family's 1533-position model. The record is from RNAcentral.
GAUGAACGCUAGCGGCAGGCCUAAUACAUGCAAGUCGAACGGUAACAGGUGUAGCAAUACAUGCUGACGAGUGGCGCACGGGUGCGUAACACGUAUGCAACUUUCCUUCAACUGGUGAAUAGCCCCUCGAAAGAGGGAUUAAUACACCAUAAUAUAAUGAGAUGGCAUCAUCUUAUUAUUAAAACUCCGGUGGUUGAAGAUGGGCAUGCGCAACAUUAGCUAGUUGGUGAGGUAAUGGCUCACCAAGGCUACGAUGUUUAGGGGUUCUAAGAGGAUUAACCCCCACACUGGUACUGAGACACGGACCAGACUCCUACGGGAGGCAGCAGUAAGGAAUAUUGGACAAUGGUGGCAACACUGAUCCAGCCAUGCCGCGUGCAGGAUGAAGGGCCCUAUGGGUUGUAAACUGCUUUAUACGGGAAAAAACCUACUCUACGUGUAGAGAG